Molecule: ribosomal RNA, 324 nt
Filed under: uncultured eukaryote
Lineage: Eukaryota
Description: partial 18S ribosomal RNA
Rfam family: Eukaryotic small subunit ribosomal RNA
Source: RNAcentral
CCCUUAGAUGCUCUGGGCCGCACGCGCGCUACACUGGUCGAUGCAACGAGUUUCUUUCCUUGGCCGACAGGCCUGGGCAAUCUUUGAACAUCGAUCGUGAUCGGGAUAGAUUCUUGUAAUUUUUGAUCUUAAACGAGGAAUUCCUAGUAAACGCAAGUCAUCAGCUUGCAUUGAUUACGUCCCUGCCCUUUGCACACACCGCCCGUCGCACCUACCGAUUGAAUGGUCCGGUGAAAUCUCCGGACUGGCGUGAGUCGGAGCAAUCUGACAAACGCCGGAAAGUUGAUUAAACCUUACCAUUUAGAGGAAGGUGAAGUCGUANCA